UACAGAGGAGCCAAGCGUUGUCCGGAUUUACUGGGCGUAAAGGGCGCGUAGGCGGUCGUGACAAGUCACUUGUGAAAUCUCCGGGCUUAACUCGGAACGGUCAAGUGAUACUGUCGGACUAGAGUACAGAAGGGGCAACUGGAAUUCUCGGUGUAGCGGUGAAAUGCGUAGAUAUCGAGAGGAACACCUGCGGCGAAGGCGGGUUGCUGGGCUGAUACUGACGCUGAGGCGCGAAAGCCCAGGGGAGCGAACGGGG
This 256-nucleotide ribosomal RNA is filed under the name uncultured bacterium. RNAcentral's name for it is "partial 16S ribosomal RNA". It matches the Rfam family "Bacterial small subunit ribosomal RNA", at positions 524 to 777 of the family's 1533-position model. The record is from RNAcentral.